Molecule: long non-coding RNA, 344 nt
Filed under: Zonotrichia albicollis (white-throated sparrow)
Lineage: Eukaryota; Metazoa; Chordata; Aves; Passeriformes; Passerellidae
Description: lncRNA (ENSZALG00000007056.1)
Source: RNAcentral
GAUUAUUUACUUUAAUUUCUUUUCUGUUUCUUCUAGUUGCCUAAGGCCUGUGAUAGCAGGAUAUGUGGAGAGAGUUCUGAAGUAAAAUACAAAAAACUUGCAUGCUGAAUUCCCGUAGUAGCUGACUAUUUGCAAAGGGGUGCCUUCAUUCUGCCUCCAGGACGUCUGAGCCCAGACGUCUCGCCCAGCCUGGCAGCAGGAAGCCUUGAUGUAGCCUCGAAGAUGAGAGAAGGCAGCUGCAGAUGAAUGAAUGCAUGAAACUGGAGAGUGAUGCAGACAGAAGAGGAAUCUGCCUGUAACCAUCUUGUGGGGUUCUGUUGUUUUGUCUUGGUCAAAUAACAGCC